GGGCGGAUGGUGAAAUUGGUAGACACGCAAGCUUGAGGUGCUUGUGGCCGCAAGGCUGUGGAGGUUCAAAUCCUCUUUCGCCCACCA
RNAcentral lists this transfer RNA (87 nucleotides) under Candidatus Falkowiibacteriota bacterium. RNAcentral describes it as "tRNA-Leu". It matches the Rfam family "tRNA". From Rfam's summary of the family: Transfer RNA (tRNA) molecules are approximately 80 nucleotides in length. Their secondary structure includes four short double-helical elements and three loops (D, anti-codon, and T loops). Further hydrogen bonds mediate the characteristic L-shaped molecular structure. tRNAs have two regions of fundamental functional importance: the anti-codon, which is responsible for specific mRNA codon recognition, and the 3' end, to which the tRNAs corresponding amino acid is attached (by aminoacyl-tRNA synthetases). tRNAs cope with the degeneracy of the genetic code in two manners: having more than one tRNA (with a specific anti-codon) for a particular amino acid; and 'wobble' base-pairing, i.e. permitting non-standard base-pairing at the 3rd anti-codon position. Lineage: Bacteria; Candidatus Falkowiibacteriota. The record is from RNAcentral.